UGGGGGAUAUUGCACAAUGGGCGAAAGCCUGAUGCAGCGACGCCGCGUGGGGGAUGAAGGCUUUCGGGUUGUAAACCUCUUUCGCUAUCGAACAAGGCCCGCUUAGGGUGGGUUGAGGGUAGGUGGAGAAGAAGCGCCGGCUAACUACGUGCCAGCAGCCGCGGUAAUACGUAGGGCGCGAGCGUUGUCCGGAAUUAUUGGGCGUAAAGGGCUUGUAGGCGGCUUGUUGCGCCUGCUGUGAAAACGCGGGGCUUAACUUCGCGCGUGCAGUGGGUACGGGCAGGCUUGAGUGUGGUAGGGGUGACUGGAAUUCCAGGUGUAGCGGUGGAAUGCGCAGAUAUCUGGAGGAACACCGAUGGCGAAGGCAGGUCACUGGGCCAUUACUGACGCUGAGGAGCGAAAGCAUGGGUAGAGAACAGG
RNAcentral lists this ribosomal RNA (420 nucleotides) under bacterium. Its description in RNAcentral is "partial 16S ribosomal RNA". It matches the Rfam family "Bacterial small subunit ribosomal RNA", at positions 355 to 776 of the family's 1533-position model. The record is from RNAcentral.